Acanthosepion pharaonis is the source of this 104-nucleotide non-coding RNA. The record is from the annotation of a GenBank genome assembly. NCBI's taxonomy places the organism in Eukaryota, Metazoa, Mollusca, Cephalopoda, Sepiida, Sepiidae.
UUCAUAUCACAUUGACACACCGGUUGCCGUAAAAUCACGGAAAUUAAGCAAAGUCGUCUCUGGUCAGUACUUCGAUGUGUGACCGCUUGUGAAUACCAGGUGCU